CGGCGGCGGCGCUGCGAUACAUCAACAAGUGUGCGAUACGGAUCCUACCAAUUUUUGGUUUUCUUUUGAUACUAUAAUAUUUACAUACAGUACAUAUUUGCUGCGUAUGAACUUUGUAUCACGAGAUCUAAUAAGGGUGCGUACGUAGCAGUUAUCACUAUAUCAGUAUAUGACCGUGUAAGGGAAUUUAAGGCGUAUAAUAGCCUGUUUCGUAAUAUCCAAGGCAAUUGUUGAAUAUACCAUCCUUUGCCUUUGGCAGCGACAGUGCCAAGCAUGGACUUGUACACUCGCUGGCAGUUGUCUAUUCUGACUGUCAUCGCCUUUCUGGUGUGUAAUGUCAAAACUGCAAAUGCAAUUAUAUGUGGUCCAUUCAUAUGCGACGGUGUGGGAGCCUAUUGCUGUGAUGGAGGCACACGUUGCUGUUGGUAUACCUGGUACUCAUUGUGGUGGACGUGGGGGAUGAUAUUCAUGUUAUUCAUGCUGCUGAGCGUAUGCAUGGGAUGCUGCUACAGACGACGAUAUUACUACACACGGGAGUAUAUUGUAGCUCACGAUGUUAACACCGUGCCAGUGUAUGGAACCAUUCAACCACCGCCAGCAGGAUACCAAUGGAGUCCUGCACCUGGUGUCGCUCAACCACCCCCAUAUGCGGCACAGGAUGCAAGAAAGCAACCACCAUCCUAUAAUCCUGGUUUUCAGAAUGCUUGAGCUCUAUGUUUCAUUGUCAGGAAUUUUAUGUAAUCGCAUUGCAAUGAAAUGUUAUUUACGGAGCGAGCAUGGGUCUCCGUUAUAUAUGAACAGUAUCCGUCAUUCUUAUUGAUUCUGAUAUAAUGAUUCUCUUGAAAUAACUCCACAUUUUCUCAUAGAUUUUUGAUUUAUGAGGAUAUUAAACACUUGCUUAUCCACAAAUAUGCUAAUGAGUCGGGGGCGGGGGGGGGGAUAAUAGAUUGUAGGAUAGCUGGGGCAGACCGGAGCCAGUAGCAUGUUUUACUGUUUUUUGCUAAACGGCGGAGAAGUAGAGGGAGGUCCCGGGACAAGGGGACCAUGACACUGAUGGCCCCCUAGAUCCACCAGGGACAGUAAAAAGCUUUUGAUAUUAAAGAUCAUUCAAUCUGUAUAUCAUGGUAAUAUAUGUAUAUGUCGAAUUUGUUAUAAGUGUUUUAAUUAAAAAUAAAGCGAAUGUUGCAAUCAGA
Molecule: RNA transcript, 1193 nt
Organism: Priapulus caudatus
Lineage: Eukaryota; Metazoa; Priapulida; Priapulimorpha; Priapulimorphida; Priapulidae
Exons: 3
Source: RefSeq, a predicted model, not a curated record